UGGGGAAUUUUGGACAAUGGGGGAAACCCUGAUCCAGCCAUCCCGCGUGUGCGAUGAAGGCCUUCGGGUUGUAAAGCACUUUUGGCAGGAAAGAAACGUCGCGGGUUAAUACCCCGCGAAACUGACGGUACCUGCAGAAUAAGCACCGGCUAACUACGUGCCAGCAGCCGCGGUAAUACGUAGGGUGCAAGCGUUAAUCGGAAUUACUGGGCGUAAAGCGUGCGCAGGCGGUUCGGAAAGAAAGAUGUGAAAUCCCAGAGCUUAACUUUGGAACUGCAUUUUUAACUACCGGGCUAGAGUGUGUCAGAGGGAGGUGGAAUUCCGCGUGUAGCAGUGAAAUGCGUAGAUAUGCGGAGGAACACCGAUGGCGAAGGCAGCCUCCUGGGAUAACACUGACGCUCAUGCACGAAAGCGUGGGGAGCAAACAGGAUUAGAUACCCUGGUAGUCCACGCCCUAAACGAUGUCAACUAGCUGUUGGGGCCUUCGGGCCUUGGUAGCGCAGCUAACGCGUGAAGUUGACCACCUGGGGAGUACGGUCGCAAGAUU
This 547-nucleotide ribosomal RNA is filed under the name uncultured bacterium. Its description in RNAcentral is "partial 16S ribosomal RNA". It matches the Rfam family "Bacterial small subunit ribosomal RNA", at positions 355 to 895 of the family's 1533-position model. The record is from RNAcentral.